This 253-nucleotide ribosomal RNA is filed under the name uncultured bacterium. Its description in RNAcentral is "partial 16S ribosomal RNA". It matches the Rfam family "Bacterial small subunit ribosomal RNA", at positions 524 to 776 of the family's 1533-position model. The record is from RNAcentral.
UACGAAGGGUGCAAGCGUUACUCGGAAUUACUGGGCGUAAAGCGCACGUAGGCGGCUUUGUAAGUUAGAGGUGAAAGCCCGGGGCUCAACUCCGGAAUUGCCUUUAAGACUGCAUCGCUAGAAUUGUGGAGAGGUAAGUGGAAUUCCGAGUGUAGAGGUGAAAUUCGUAGAUAUUCGGAAGAACACCAGUGGCGAAGGCGACUUACUGGACACAUAUUGACGCUGAGGUGCGAAAGCGUGGGGAGCAAACAGA